UAGACGGAUUGAACUUAGCAGUGAACCAACGAGGGGUCAACUCACGCUUUACAACGGCGCCGAAUAGGGGAGUCCUACCGCCUAUUGUCUACGUGGGGCAGGAACUCUUUCUGGAGUUGUAUCCGGCACCUAAUUCCGGUGCAACUGAUCUGGCUGUAACAGGAUGUACAGCAUCUUCCCCUGGGUCUCCAGAUGUACUUCUUGUUUCCAACAGGUGUCCUGAUAAUUUUGGAACGAUUACAGUUUCCUUGACAAAAGAUGAUGGCACCAAAACAAUUUUUCUUCGCUUCAAGGUGUUCCAGUUCACAGGUUCCAACCAGCUAUCUAUAACAUGCAGUGUUGCUGCCUGUGGCACGUCUCCACCACUCCUACCCGUAGCUGUUUGCUCACCCACGACCAAUUGCGCAGCAGGUGGUGAUCCAGACAUCGGUAGGCGUAAGCGAGAACCGACGUAGACGACGAGAUCACAGUCACCAUCUCCAGAGAACUGGUCAUCGCUGCGACGCCGCAGGAAGCGGAGAUUCUGCUGCAAAAGGCCAGAGCGAUACAAAUACGACGACGGAAUCUUGUUUGUACAGCGUUGCCUUCAUCUCGGUGACGGCCGUCUGUGGCGUUCUUCUCGUUGUGGCUGUGGUAGCCCUCGUGCUCGUCUUCUUCCGUCUGCGUGCAGGCCGUGGAGCAGAAGAGAUAAAUCACCCAACCAAAGGCUAAAGCGUAUUCAUCUUUGACAACACGUGUUUGACUGAAGCAUUCAUAACAACAUAUUCGAUAUAUUUUUCUACUCGGUGAUGUUUUCGUUUGUCUUUUAGCUUUCGUGGUUGUCGUUAUAGUAAAGUAAAACAUUGAGUAAACUGAAAGCAUGUUUACAAAAAAUUGUUUUCUGGUACAGAAAUACUAAUUAGGGGUCGACGCUAGUAUCCAUGCGGGACACCUUGAAAUCGUUCGGAUUAUAAUUAUUGGGGGUUCAAGCCAUUCAGGCUUUUAGUAUUGUUAUAAUAUCAUUAUUAUUAUUAUUAUUCUAAUCAAAACUGUAACGCGUUUUCUAUAGAAAACUAUUAUCCCGAAGUUCAUAAAAUUUUAACAUGUUUGUCUGCGGGACUUGAAGCUGUACAUCGUAACUUUUGGGCAGAAAUGCGUGAUUAGGAACGCGACUGACCCGGAGAUGUGGUCUUACGAGCAAAGAUAUGGGUGUCCUCAGUCACGUGACCUGGCGGCCAUAUAGCUUGAUCUGAAAACGUUUGAGUCACUUUCUCCAGAAGCCCUUGUCAGAUUGACCUAAACAAGAUUUCAGUGGAGACUAUGUGGAAAAACAGAAAACAAUGUUUAUGCAAAUUAGAUUUUAGUUGAUACAGCGGAAAUGAUAUCACCUUAUGGGGGGGGGAUAAAUUUCAAUAUUCUAAAUAUGCUGCCUGAAGGAGAUUGAUGUCCUGAUCACGAAUGUGUGGUCCUAUUUUUUCCUGUAAGGUGUGUACUUAUGUCGCAAAUUACAAUCAAAAAUCGAAAGUUUUCCUCCAUAUUUGUAGAUCACGUGACAGAAAACUGAUACAGCUGUUAAGUUCAAAUUGCUGGGUCGAAGGGACUAUAUAUGUACUGUAUGUAUGCUGAAAAUCUUUGAGCUGUCCUAAUAAAUACACGCUGUACAGGGCUUCAAAUUUCACAAAAGGCCGAUUUACUAUAUUUUGGCAUAUUUACGAGUGUAUGGUGUAUAAUGCAUAUACCAUGUCUUGGAUGAAAGCAGAAAAACUGUAUGUAUGUCACUUGACGUAGUUUGAUGUCCUGAUCACGAAUCCGGUCUUCUGUUUCCUGAUGUGUAUACUUUUGUCCUAAAUUGCGAUCAAACUGCGCAAAAACUCAAUAUCCCAAACUAUAUUUGCAGAAAACUGUUAUAAUUGUAAACCUUAAAAUUGCGGUGUUAUAAGGGCUAUGUACGUAAUAUAUGUAUGCUGAAAAUCGUUGUGCUGUGUUAAAAAAAUGCACGCCUUCAAAUAUAGUCCACAGGCCGGACUGACUACAUUCGAUACAUUUAUAUGCCCUACCCAUACGAUAACAAUUUUUUAGUUUGGUAUGCAAAUAAGGCCAAAACUGACCAAUGAACUUGGCUGAAAGGUGGGUCAAUUUUUAAAACUGCUUAAAAUCAUUAAACAAACCCAUUCCCUGGUGCCCAUUUACGCCACAAUUACAAAUCGUCACAAUUACAAAUCUGGAAGAAUUGUUUAUGUACUGAUGGAAACGGGCAUCAGCUCUGCAACAUUCUGUCUUUUGUCCUUGGCUAUCAGCAGAAGAGCCGCCUAAUUUCUAUGCUUGUCUUCAGUUCUUGGUCAGCUAUAAAUGAUGUCUAACAGUCUAGAGUUCCAGUACAUUGCUUUCCUUUUUUUCGCGUUUUCACCCCGUUAUCAUGAACUGUAUAGACACCAGGCUACUAAAAGUGAUAAAAGAUUAGUGGCGUGAACCCCGGCAACGCUGUUGGACAACAGCUUUAAUUAUUUCUUGUUUUUGUCAUUUAUCACUGUCUCUUCUAUUUAACAGCUAUUAUCAACAUUUACUCAAAAUUUUAUCACUGGUAUAAUGUGAGUUAGUUUCACACAUUUAUGCAGAAAUCUCGUUUCAUACCUUGUACCUUAAAGCUAUAUGUGAUUUUGUACCACCGUGCAUCGCAAAAUGGCAGAAAUAUGUUACCGUUGUGCAAAGAUGGCAGAAUAAGUAACAUAUCCUAGCCUGUAACAACGUGGUAGUCUUCACUUUCAUGAACAGCAAUCAUAAUAUCAUCGGUUAAAAUGACCCAGGAGACUUUCACCAGUGCGAGCCCAGUUUAAAUUGGCUGCCUUUCUGGCCGCACACGGCAAAGUUGUGAGUUUCCCAGGGCUCUGCACGGUUUCCUCCCCCAUAAUGCUGGCACCAUCGUAUAAGUGAAAUAUUCUUGAGUACGACGUAAAAGACCAAUCGAAUAAAAAUAAAU
Liolophura sinensis is the source of this 2956-nucleotide long non-coding RNA. RefSeq lists it as uncharacterized. Lineage: Eukaryota; Metazoa; Mollusca; Polyplacophora; Chitonida; Chitonidae. The transcript has 5 exons. The record is from RefSeq and is a predicted model, not a curated record.